Molecule: ribosomal RNA, 818 nt
Filed under: Escherichia coli
Lineage: Bacteria; Pseudomonadati; Pseudomonadota; Gammaproteobacteria; Enterobacterales; Enterobacteriaceae
Description: partial 23S ribosomal RNA
Rfam family: Bacterial large subunit ribosomal RNA
Source: RNAcentral
CGGGACACGUGGUAUCCUGUCUGAAUAUGGGGGGACCAUCCUCCAAGGCUAAAUACUCCUGACUGACCGAUAGUGAACCAGUACCGUGAGGGAAAGGCGAAAAGAACCCCGGCGAGGGGAGUGAAAAAGAACCUGAAACCGUGUACGUACAAGCAGUGGGAGCACGCUUAGGCGUGUGACUGCGUACCUUUUGUAUAAUGGGUCAGCGACUUAUAUUCUGUAGCAAGGUUAACCGAAUAGGGGAGCCGAAGGGAAACCGAGUCUUAACUGGGCGUUAAGUUGCAGGGUAUAGACCCGAAACCCGGUGAUCUAGCCAUGGGCAGGUUGAAGGUUGGGUAACACUAACUGGAGGACCGAACCGACUAAUGUUGAAAAAUUAGCGGAUGACUUGUGGCUGGGGGUGAAAGGCCAAUCAAACCGGGAGAUAGCUGGUUCUCCCCGAAAGCUAUUUAGGUAGCGCCUCGUGAAUUCAUCUCCGGGGGUAGAGCACUGUUUCGGCAAGGGGGUCAUCCCGACUUACCAACCCGAUGCAAACUGCGAAUACCGGAGAAUGUUAUCACGGGAGACACACGGCGGGUGCUAACGUCCGUCGUGAAGAGGGAAACAACCCAGACCGCCAGCUAAGGUCCCAAAGUCAUGGUUAAGUGGGAAACGAUGUGGGAAGGCCCAGACAGCCAGGAUGUUGGCUUAGAAGCAGCCAUCAUUUAAAGAAAGCGUAAUAGCUCACUGGUCGAGUCGGCCUGCGCGGAAGAUGUAACGGGGCUAAACCAUGCACCGAAGCUGCGGCAGCGACGCUGAUGCGUUGUUGGGUAGGGGAG